GGCCUCGUAGCUCAGCUGGUAGAGCGUGCUCUGUAGCGAAGCGUAGGUGGCUUCCACACGUGGAUUCGAAUCCCGCCGAAGCUA
Molecule: transfer RNA, 84 nt
Filed under: Echinostoma caproni
Lineage: Eukaryota; Metazoa; Platyhelminthes; Trematoda; Plagiorchiida; Echinostomatidae
Rfam family: tRNA
About the family: Transfer RNA (tRNA) molecules are approximately 80 nucleotides in length.
Source: Rfam by way of RNAcentral